Molecule: long non-coding RNA, 4958 nt
Organism: Leopardus geoffroyi (Geoffroy's cat)
Lineage: Eukaryota; Metazoa; Chordata; Mammalia; Carnivora; Felidae
Exons: 2
Source: RefSeq, a predicted model, not a curated record
ACUUUAUUUUUUUUUAUGGCCAAAUAUUAUUCCAUUGUGUGGAUAUACCACUUUUAUUUAUCAAUUCAUCAGCUGGUAGAUAUUUGGGUUGUUUCCACCUUAUGGCCCUUAUGAAUAAUGGGCUAUAAGAUUAACGUGCAAGUGUUUGUGUAGAAAUGUUUCCAUUUCUCGUGGGUAUGCACUGAGGAGUGGAAGUGUUGGGUCAUAUGAUAACCCUUUGCUGAACUUUUUGAGAAACUGCCAGAAAACAAUUUCCACAGGGGGUGCACAAUUUUACUUUCCCACGAGCAGCAUAUGAGGGUUUUGAUUGCUCCACACCCUCACCAAUACUUGUUGUUAUCUGUCUUUUUGAUUAUAGCCAUCCUAGUGGGUGUGUGGUGGUAUCUCGUUGUGGUUUCAUUUGCAUUUCCCUGAUGACUAAUUAUCUUGAACAUUUUGAUUUAUGUGCUUUUCUUAAUAUACGUCCUACUUUAAUAAAAAAAAAAAACCAGUGUAUUUUUAAAAUACACUUGCUUCUUGACCCCUGAUACUCAUAAAAAUUGCUCAGUUCUGAAAACACGGAACCCAGAACUUCUGGAGCCUAGAGAUUUUGCAUCUCCCAGAUGGAAUUCACCUCUGGGGGUAACCAAGUCAUUUUGGGACCAAGCUAGACUGGAGCUGCUCUCUUUCCCAGUAAGAAAUUUCCCCUGGAUCAUACACAGAAAGGCGCCAAAUGUACCUGUGUACAGGUAUGUAUUUUUCCCCUUAUACUCAGGUAAACUCGGGUUGUGAAAUGGGGUGGAAGGCUUGUAUUCAGACAUGGGUCAGCUAUCUGAAAGACUAUGUGGCACUGGACAAGGACUUGAGUCCUUGUCUCUUCAUCAAGGCACAAAGUCCAGGACAAGAAGAUUGAUGCACUUGAUCCAGACAUGGAGCUUGAGAAGAGAAUCAUCCCUAGAUCAAAUGAAAGGUAAUCCUUAACAACAUGUGUUACUUGUCCUACUUUACAUGUGGGGAACCUGAAGCUUAGAGCAGUAAUUCACUCAGGCCUCAAAGUAACUUAGUCUGCAAAAAGGUUACUUUUCAAUUCCCCCCCUCCUUAGAUGGUAGAGUGAAAGCUUGGUGCCUUGGCAUUACCCCCUGGGUAUAGUUAGCUGCGUUUUCAAGGCAGCCUGAUGACCUGGUCUCUGUAGCCCAUGUUUAGUUCUGGGGCCAACCACUGCCAUGCACGCCUCUGGUCACUUAGGCUAUUCUUCCUCUGGUGAACCUGUGUGCUGGGUUCUUUCUUUUCCUCCUAUUGGGUGCAAGAUCUUAACAUUUCUCCACUUUCAUUCCAGGACUAGGUACCAGUAUUUUUUGAAAGUUAAGGGAGGUAUGUUAGUUGGGUUCCCCAGGAAACCCUCUACUGAGGUAGAGUUAAGAGUGCAAAUGGUUUCAGGGGAGUAUGUGUGAAAGAAGGGGAGCAAGCAGAAUUGGGCAGAGGGACCCAUAAGAUGCACACCUAAAGUCUCUGCCAGCUCGAUGGGGAGUUGCAGAGCAAGGACUGCCUAACCAAGGAGUCCCACAUUGGUGUGAAAUCUGGGUCUUUAUAUGACCACCUGUCCCCAAGGAAGGAAGGAAGUUGAAGUGGAUUCUGAGGAAGCUAAAAUCUGGCACCCAUUAGGUAGACACACUCUUCAAGUCCUUUCUUAAAAAAGGAGCUGAGCAGUACAUGUCCUCAUUUGCCAGCAGUCCAGACAAAGCCAGACAUUCCUACAGGAAUCAGUUAUUGUCUGGCUAGCUCAGGGAAUGGCCUGGAAUUCUGGAAAAAUGGACUACAAACCUGGGCUAUAAACUGAAGAGCAUGUUGAUUCCAAUCUCCCACCCCUCCUUUUUUGUGGGUCACAUCAUGAGUGGUGUGUCACUGGGCUAGAAGGAUUCUGCAAGGUCCUUUGGGCCUCAGUACUCAAGGACUUGGGGACAGGUGAGUUACCUCGUGUCCUUUAUGCUGUCACACCUAUGUGAAUUCAGGUCUCUGCUGUAGGCCACAGUCACGAUGGUCAUCAUCACCAUUUUCCCAUAAGCACUUUACCCAGCAUCAACCAGCAUUCUUGGAAUACCAAAUUGAACUGGAGUAGAAUACAAAAGGAAGAUUCUAGUUCACCUUGUCUUCUAGAAACUUCUUGUAUUUGGAACAAUCGCAUGCUAUGCCAAAUAUAGAAUGAAUACAGUGACCUCCUGGGUUCUGUGAUCCUGGGUUCCCAAUUUCCCCUCUAUAGAAUGGGAAUUACUAUGACUGCCUCAAGCCUCACCCUGAAAGGGCUAUAGAGACUUCAAUGGUAUAAUGGAGGUGGAAGCCUUUGAGCACCUCAUUCCAAAGUUAUCAGAGCAUCUUUUGCCUAAGGCUCUUGAAACCUCUUAAAAGCACCACCACAUUUUCAUCAUACAAAAAUUGCCCAAGAGAGAUCUCCUCAUUACCAGCACUUGGUGGGAAUCUGGCAUUCAUCCUCACAAUUCCCCUAUGAUCACAGAGUCUUACCACAAAGGGCAUCUUUCUGCUAGAUUAUCUGCAGAAUGGUCUGGGGCAGAAGGCAAAAGCACCAGACUAUCUCGCUUGCCUCCCCGCCUCUGCUGGGGCCCAGGCAAUGUUCACCAGUGUGGUCCCCAGAAUUCUGGUCUCCUUGGCAUAGUUAUUUUGUUCGCCAAGCUAACGUUUAUAAUUUUACUUCCUACUGAGGACACAUUGAGAGAAUUUUUGCCCACUGUUCAAAUUCAUGGGACUAAUAUGUUACUGGGAAGAUGUCCAAUGUCCAGGGGGAACAGGGGAAGCAGAAGACAAAGCCUGCUAAAGCGGGAAGGGACUUGCCUUCACUUCCUCAUUCACAGGUGAAGCAGACACGAUGAGUAGGUGCCCAGCCGGGCUGGACUCUGUUCACCUGAUCGAAGUAUACUGGUUCUGACUUCAAAGGUGUUGAGUGAGGUGAGCCCCCCCCACCCUCCGCAAAUUGCAUAAACUUCAAGACCCACAAACCCUGGAUUAUCUCUCAUGGAGGACUGAGUUUUAAAGUCAGAAGAUAAAGUAGGAACUGACAAGCUCAUGCCUCGCAGCAUGCUCCUGGAAAGCACACAGGAGAGGUGAAGAAUCAGGAUACCCUGAGAUCUGAAAGGAAGGUAUGAAUCAAGUCAAGCUGAACAGUGGAGCAAGAAUUUGAAAGUUGGAAGCCUCUUGGACUAAGAGAAAAGAUAAAGGUGCCAGGUGGUGAGGAAUGUGAGGGCAGGGAACUAUACUUUAAACAGAAUACUCAUACAAUUUUCACAUUACAUGUGCAAGAAUAGUGUAUAAUGCAUAAUGGUGGAACCAUGUUUGGAGUCACACUGAUCUGGGCUCUACUUAUUUGAACUCCAUGACUUAGGACAGGUCAAGGAACAUCUUAGAAUUUCAGUUUCAUUUGUAAAUGAUAAUAGUAAUACUUAUCUCGAAAGUAUUACUUUUGAAAUUUUAGGUUAUAAAAUUAGGGAGAUAUUUUUCUGAAAAUGAUUUGUAAACUGUAAAGAGUUCUGUUUACCAAUAUUGGUUCUAAUUCAUUUUACUCACAAUGUAGAAAGAAUGUCCUUGUUCACCAAAAUGAUAAUAGUGGAAGGACCCUUAGAGGGAAAACAAACAAAGAAACAAACAAACCCAGCUCUGGUACUCUCAGAGUAAAAAUUCCAGCUUAUUACAUACUUGUGAGCAAUUCCCUAAUUUCUCCAAUCCUCAGUUUCUCUAUCUAAAUCAUGAAAGUUAUUAUACUUUGCCUUUAAACACCAGUGAGGUAAUAUCUUGAUCAGAUUUAUCUUUAAGUUCCUUGGGAGGAAAUAAAUGAAAAUAUCCAAUUCACUUUCCUUAUUCGGACCUUUACUAGAAUUUGGAAAGGAGACUCUCUCAAGCCUUUGAGCAACAGGGAAGACCGCUGAGUGCCACAACCCACCUUGGGCUGGACUGUAAUGAGAAGGACAUUGAUUGAGUGCUAGCUGUUGGACAUAUGGUUUUGCCUCACCCUCGUAACAGGCUAGUAUGUUUGACAUUACGGCUUAUAUUAUACAGAUGAGGAAAACGGGGCUCAGAAUAUUUGAGCAAAUACUUCAGUUCCCACCUCUAGUAAAUGGAGGAGCAGAACGUCAGACCCAGAUCAAUACUGGAACCUCCUUUUCCUGGUGUCCCCAGUUGACCUGCAGCUCCUUUGUGUCCAGGACAAGGAGGAUUGAACCUAUGUUCUACAGGAAGUCAGGCCUGUGACAGGUAAGAUGACAUGAGGCUAAGCCUCUUAUAGACUCCGGCACAGUGUGAAAUUGCUAGUUAUUAUUUUUAAAGCAGAGAGAAACUUUCCACCCAUGCACUUACACAGGCAGUUGGCUUCAAGGUCUGAUGGUUUUUGUCACCCUUGCCUUUUCUAGAUCAGUGUCCAAAGUAAGAGACUCUGUCUUCCUGUAUGUUGUGGCUGUUUCUGUUAAGCAGUGUCUUCAAAGGUCUAAUGAAGGAGGCCACCAUGGUGCCUGCAUGUCACAGAAAGAAUGUGGGCUCACAUCUUCACAAUGGCAGAGAUGGGUACAAAAGCAAAGACCACAUCAAUUUUGGAGCAUUUCCACCUGUGAUGUUUGACAUCCUUCAGGCACGGUCUGAGAGAGGGACUGGACCAGCAUCUUUUGAACAUUGUAUUGUGGGGGAAAGACACAGAUAUGAGGAGCUCUUCCCCCUGCAGAUACACCUGUGGCACGAGCCACCCUUCCCCCAUCCCCUAAGGCAGAGUCUCCUUUCCAUCCCGUGCACACCCUUGUUGGUUUAUAGGUCCCCACUAUUAGAUGAGUAAUAAACAGUAGGAUAUAAGCUUCCCUUCUGGCCAAUCCCAGAGCUAAAGUAACAUGUUCAAACACCCUGUUAUUAUUAUUACCAAUGAUAAUAAGAGGAAUAAUGAGCAAGAAUUGCUUUUAUUAAAUAAAUCAGGAAAAUGCACUUUACAACA